This 73-nucleotide transfer RNA is filed under the name Candidatus Methanoplasma glyptotermitis. RNAcentral's name for it is "tRNA-Gly". It matches the Rfam family "tRNA". From Rfam's summary of the family: Transfer RNA (tRNA) molecules are approximately 80 nucleotides in length. The record is from RNAcentral. RNAcentral also lists the same sequence under 1 other name. Lineage: Archaea; Methanobacteriati; Thermoplasmatota; Thermoplasmata; Methanomassiliicoccales; Methanomassiliicoccaceae.
GCGGAUGUGGUGUAGCUGGUUAUCACUUGGCCUUGCCAAGGCCAUAACCCGGGUUCGAAUCCCGGCAUCCGCA